Spinacia oleracea (spinach) is the source of this 789-nucleotide RNA transcript. RefSeq lists it as uncharacterized. NCBI's taxonomy places the organism in Eukaryota, Viridiplantae, Streptophyta, Magnoliopsida, Caryophyllales, Amaranthaceae. The transcript is spliced from 4 exons. The record is from RefSeq and is a predicted model, not a curated record.
AAUUUAUUUUUUUCCUGAAAUUGCAGAAAGAGAAGAAAGGAGUGUUUAGCGAAUUGGCAUUUUUCAAAUCAGUUUACGCCAAAGAAGAUGGAAGCUUUAAAGAGGGCACACUUCCUCAUCAAUUUGUGGAGGAUGCCAACAAAAAGGUCCAAGAAAAUCUUGCGAGUUCCUCUUCUUCAAAGCCCGUAAUUGAAAUUGAGAAUGCAGUCUUUAAUGAGCUCAUGUAUAAAGGUGAAGUACCUAAACGUCCUCUGAAUUAUGGAUUUGGAGUGAAGCAAAGCGACAUCUUUGGAGUGGAAGGUUUGCUGAGGAAAGAAGGGUCAAGCUAUGUUAACAACAAUGCUAUGGAAGUGGAGAACAUGAAAGGUGAAAUAUCAGUUGUCAAGAAGCAAAAUGAGGACCUUGCGCAACAAAAUCAAGUUCUAAACACCAAGUUUGAAGAAACAACACAAUCAUUUAAAAUGAUUGCUUCUUUUUUGGGACAAGUUUUGAAGGAAGUACGCAAAGGGAAUGUUUCAUCGAACCUUUUAGAUGGUGCGGAAUCAGCAAUAAAUAUGAUUACUGAUGAUUCUGGUGGCAAUGGUGACAACCAGGCCGAGAAAUGAGACUUUGACACUAUUGCCAAAUGCAAGAUUAUUGAUGAUUCAAGUGGUAAUAGUAAAUGUAGAUCAAGAGAUGAACAAGUUAUCUUGAAGCUAAGCUAGCAUAACGAUAUGUUUACUUGUUCGUAGUCAGGAAGUUGUUUUUAUUUAGUUUUGGACUAUCUUGUACAAAAAAUGAUAAUGCUAG